RNAcentral lists this ribosomal RNA (497 nucleotides) under uncultured bacterium. Its description in RNAcentral is "partial 16S ribosomal RNA". It matches the Rfam family "Bacterial small subunit ribosomal RNA", at positions 27 to 507 of the family's 1533-position model. The record is from RNAcentral.
GGGGGGGGGGGGGGGGGGGGCGGGGGCGUGGGGGGCGGGCGGGGGGGGGGGGGGGGGGGUCCGCGGGGGUGGGCGGGGGACGGGUGCGUAGCGCGUGGAGAACCUACCUAUGAGCCUGGGAUACCUUCGGGAAACCGUAGCUACUACCGGAUAAUAUAUUGCACCGCAGUGUCCCAUAGUAAAAGACGGUCUUUCUGUCACUUAUAGACUGAUCCGCGCGGCAUUAGCUGGUUGGUCAGGUACCGGCUUACCAAGGCAACGAUGCUUAGCCGACCUGAGAGGGUGGUUGGCCACACGGGAACUGAGACACGGCCCAGACUCCUACGGGAGGCAGCAGUAGGGAAUCUUACGCAAGGGGGGAAAGCUUGACGGAGCAACGCCGGGUGAGUGAUGAAGGUCUUCGGAUCGUAAAGCUCUGUUAUUAGGGAAGAACAAAUGUGUAAGUAACUGUGCACGUCUUGACGGUACCUAAUCAGAAAGCCACGGCUAACUACGUG